AACGCACAUUGCGCCCGCCGCUCUGCGGCGGGCAUGCCUGUCCGAGCGUCAUUAGUCCACUCAGGCCUCGCCUGGUGUUAGGGCACGCCCGUUGGCGGCCCGUAAAUCUAGUGGCGGAGUGCCCUGGCCUCCCAGCGUCGUAACUCUUCAGCGCUGAGGGUGGUCGGCGGACCUCGGUCUCAACCAUCUUUUUUUUCUGGUUGACCUCGGAUCAGGUAGGAAUACCCGCUGAACUUAA
This 238-nucleotide unclassified non-coding RNA is filed under the name uncultured fungus. Its description in RNAcentral is "partial contains 5.8S ribosomal RNA, internal transcribed spacer 2, and large subunit ribosomal RNA". Lineage: Eukaryota; Fungi. The record is from RNAcentral.